AUUGAACGCUGGCGGCAUGCUUUACACAUGCAAGUCGAACGGCAGCGCGGGCUUCGGCCUGGCGGCGAGUGGCGAACGGGUGAGUAAUGCAUCGGAACGUGCCCAGUAGUGGGGGAUAGCCCGGCGAAAGCCGGAUUAAUACCGCAUACGACCUGAGGGUGAAAGCGGGGGACCGAAAGGCCUCGCGCUAUUGGAGCGGCCGAUGUCGGAUUAGCUAGUUGGUGGGGUAAAGGCUUACCAAGGCGACGAUCCGUAGCUGGUCUGAGAGGACGACCAGCCACACUGGGACUGAGACACGGCCCAGACUCCGACGGGAGGCAGCAGUGGGGAAUUUUGGACAAUGGGGGCAACCCUGAUCCAGCCAUGCCGCGUGCGGGAAGAAGGCCUUCGGGUUGUAAACCGCUUUUGUUCGGGAAGAAAACCUCUGGGCUAAUACCCCGGGGGGAUGACGGUACCGGAAGAAUAAGCACCGGCUAACUACGUG
RNAcentral lists this ribosomal RNA (484 nucleotides) under uncultured bacterium. RNAcentral's name for it is "partial 16S ribosomal RNA". It matches the Rfam family "Bacterial small subunit ribosomal RNA", at positions 29 to 507 of the family's 1533-position model. The record is from RNAcentral.